CUCCUGUGCACAAGGGCAGCUCGGGGUAACUGGAUUACAGGCAUGUGCGGGCUCUGCCUUUACAGACCUCACCAGAGCAAAUGAGGACUUGGCCCCAUGGCCUGCCUCCACCAACUAUACCUGCCUCCAUGAUUUCCUCCAAGAAGAAAUGAAAAUCUUAUGGAUCCAGGAGCCAUUACUAGGCAUCUGCAACACCACCAACGCAAGGCCUGUGAGGGCAGAGAGAGGGACAGCACAGGAGUGCCCUGGACAAGCACACCCUGCAGUCCCAGAAGAACGGGGCAGAUGGGGAAGGCGGUUGAUCCUGGCUGGCCAAAAGAUCUGACCAACUCAGGGUAAAAUUCACAUAAUUCUGUUGCCUUCCUCUUCUUAUCGUUUUGGCCACUUGCUGUGGUUUGAAAAGUGAAUUCUGCAGGGCCUGCCUGCCUGCAGAGCUCUCCCAGUGCGAGGCAACCCUGAGGCUACAGAGAGGCAGCCACAGCUUACGAUGGAUCUGAAAAGAGGCUGUAAAACUGGACAGCUGAACCCCAUACAAAGAGCGGGCCUCUCCCAUGUUAAGCCUUGAAGUUGCAGGACCUCCAUCAAUGCACGCUUCAGUGUCCCCUCCUCUGCGACAAUGUCACAGCCUACAUCUGGUAGGCAGACCCUUCUACUGGCCUCUUCCUCCAGCCCCUGUGCCCUCAACACUUCCUGAGCCUCUGCAGAGGAGGCGGCCUCCUCCUUUCAGACACAGCCCAGACUCAGCAUCCUUUACAGCAGGCAGGGGACUGGAAGAGCAGUCUCGCUGUGGGGAGAGCAUACACACUGAGGGAGCCCCACGCUGUCCGGAAAGGGGAGGUGUUGUGGUGGGAAAAGGAGGAACAACAGCCAGCUAACACUUAUUAGGGUGCUUCCCUCACUCCUCUAAAACCCUCCUUAUUUGGUGUCUGUAGUUAGAGCCUGAGAAAGGGAUUCUUGUGCACUUACUUAAUGGCUUACUGUGGUUUCUCCUGAACGCUUGCAGAAAGGGGUGUUGGCUGGGGACCGGCCAACUGCGCCUGGUCCCAGGAGAGCUCUAGGGUGUGAACUGCACCACAGGUGGUCCCACUUUGAGGCAAGAGGCAGACUCUGUGCUCCCCUGGGUGUCAGUCCUUGGCUGUUGGCUGGUAAUGCGGGUGGGGGGGGGGGGGGAAGGGGGGCAAGUGUCAGCUGUGAGCUGUGGCAGCCACAGCUGAGAAAGUACUCACCAUAUCCACUACAUGUAGUUUCCACUAGUCUUUCCAGUCUUCCCUCUGCUAGCUCUUGCUCCUCUGACCUCUGCCGGCAAGUGCCAGGGCUCAGCUGCGACCCUUCUCUCUACCCUGACUUCCUACUGAUCUAGUCUCAUCUUUAGAUCCAAACACUGAAGACCUCCAAAUUCUUACCUUCAAUACGUUACUCCACAUCCUAUCUGAGAUCCCUACUUGCAUGCCUAAAAGACAACACAAACUUAGCACAUCCCUAAUGGUUCUCUGGACUGGUUUUCCUGUAAGGCUGCUCCUCCUCAGUGCUCUCCACUCAUGUGAACGACCCCCAUCUGCUGCAUGAGUCCUAGAGAGCAAAGCAGACUCCCUUCCCUGCCCCUCAGGCUCCUCAGCUAUUGCGGGGGAGGGGGCUGUCUGGGCAGAGACAUGGUGCUGAUCCCCAGGAUAAGGCAAGUCUCACAUACUGCUCACAUCCCCUAUGUGGUGGGGAAGUAAUAAACUGAUGAAAAACUCAGUGCCAAAGACAUCACUCUUUGCCUGAUCUUUAUUACCACCCCAGUUCUGUUUUAACAGUGGUACUAGGUCCUACGUGGUUUUUAGAUGUGAGUUUAAUGCUCAUAAAAAAAAUUCCCUUGUCUAAACUAGAAACGAGGGAAGAAACUCAAAGAAAGGAAUUGUAAAUGCGUCUGAAGACACUGAUGCACUAUAUAAAUAUUAGCUCUUGGAGUUAUGGCCAAAGUGUAAACAACUUUUUAGAUUUCUAAAUAAACUUUAAAUUUUAGGAGAGUUUUAGAUUUACAGAAUAAUCACAAAGAUAGUACAGAGGUCCCACAUGCUCCCCCACCCAGUCCCUGAUUAUUAAUCUCUUACAGUAGUAUAUUUGUCACAAUUAACUGACCAAUAUGGACCUAUCACUACUGAUUAAAGUCCAUAUUCUAUUCAACUUUUCUUAGUUUUAAUCUAGUGUCCUUUAUCUAUUCCAGGAUCCCAUCUAGAAUAUUGCAUUUCAUUGCCAUGUCUCUUUAGGCUCCUUUUGACUAUGACAGUUUUUCCGACUUCCUUUGUUUUUGGUGACCUUGACAGUUUUAAGGAGGGCUCAUGAAGUAUUUUGUUGAAUAUCCCUCAGGUGAGAUUUGUCUGAUGUCUUCCCAUGCUAGGCUGAAGUUAAGGGUUGUCCUUCCCAUCACAUCACAUCACAUCAUUGGUGCACACUCUCAAUAGGAUGUAUCAAUGCUGACAUGAACUUUGCUCACCUGGUUGAGCACUUGGUUCACUGUCAAGUUACUCUUUCUUCCCCCUUUCCACACUGUACUCUUUGGAAGGAAGUGACUGACCAUGGGCAGCCUACAUUUAAGGAGUAGUGAAUUAUGCUCCACCUCUGAGAAAGGGGUAUCUACAUAAAUUAUUUAUAACUCCUCUGCCUGGGAGAUUUGCCUAUUCUUCUCCAUUUAUUUAGUUAUUUUACCAGUAUAGACACAUGGAUAUUUACUUUAUAGUUUGGGUUAUAAUCUGAUACUACUUCAUCUGUUUUAUUGCCCAAAUUUUCCAGCUUUGGCCACUAGGAGCUCUUUUGGGUGGUUCCUAUAUCCCCCUGUCAUAUCCGCACCAUUGUGUGUGUUUAUUUGUUGAGCACCACCUUACUUUCUGACACUGCAAGAUGCCCCAGAUCCAUCACGUAUAUUUCCUGUUCUAGUCCUUGAAUUACACAUUUCUCCAUGGAGUCCUGGUUCCUUUUACUAGAAAAUGGCAUGAGAGGGGUGCCUGGGGGGCUCUCACAGUUAAGCAUCUGACUCUUGAUAUUGGCUCAGGUUUUCAUCUCGAGGUCGUGGGAUUCAGCCCCGCAUUGGGCUCCAUGCUAAGCAUGGAGCCUGCUUGGGAUUCUCAUUCUCGCUCUCUCUCUCUCUCUCUCUCUCUCUUUCCUGCUUGUGCCCGCAUGCACGCUCUUUCUUUCAAAAUAAAUAAGCACUGGGGCACCUGGGUGGCUCAGUGGUUGCGAGUCCAACUUCAGCUCAGGUCAUGAUCUCACACCUAGUGAGCUAGAGCCUUGCAUCAGGCUCUGUUGACAGCUCAGAGCCUGGAGCCUGCUUUGGAUUCUGUGUCUCCCUCUCUCUCUGACCCUCCCCCACUUGUGAUCUCUCUCUCUCUCAAAAAUAAACAUCAAAAAAUUUUUAAAAAUAAACAUUUAAAAAAUAUGGAACACAGAAAAACAUGAAAUAAUCUCCUGGGGGUAUCAUUAGUAAAAAUCCACUUAUCGUACAGAAUUUCUCUUGUUCUGGGUUUUCCUAAUGCAAGGAAAACAAUAAAGGAAUGAGAAACGUACAGAUUAAAAGAUUAAAAAAAAAAAACAUAUAACCUAAUGCAGUGCAUGUAACAGACCUUGUUUGGGUUUGACUCUUAAAAUUCAAAAAUAAGAGCAACCCAAUCUUUUCUAGAAGGUAUAAGAGUUGAAAAGACCUUUCACCAAAGAAAAUACACAAAUGGAAAAUGAGCAUAUGAAAAGAUGCUCAAUAUCAUUAGUCGCUAAGAAAUGCUAACUAAAAGCACAGUGAGACAAUGCUACACCUACUGAAAUGACUAACAUUAACAUUUGGGAAUACUUAGCACUUGUGUGUUCAAAUCCCAGCUUUUCUUAAUUGAUCCUUGUACCCCUCUGAUAUAAACAAAGGAAAUAUAAUACCUGCUCCCCUGGUAUAAAUUUCAUAAGUAUUAAGUCAGGUCCAAUAGUGUCUUCCAAUAGAAAGGCUAAUGGUCUUGAACUUGCUCCUACUGGUAAUGGAAAGCCACUUAAAACUGUUAUUCUUUUCUUAAUAUGUAUACUUUAUAUAGAUAUCAGAUAUCUGUGAUAUAUAUUAUACACAAAGUACUAAGAACAUUCUUCUUGAGGCUUAAGGUUGUAUUUUAGUUAGUAUUCAUUCAAUCGUACAAUUAUGUGCCAGGCAGUGCAUUUCAAAAAAGGAAUGGAGAAUAUACCAGAAUCCUAAGAUUUAGGGGCAAGGCUGGGGGGGAGGGAGGGAUUGUGGGAUCUGAAAAAGCAUAUUAAGUAUAAUUGCUUUGAUUUGCUUUUUUAAAAAUUUGCUACUGAAGUAUAAUACAUAUGCUCUAAUAGAUUUUUAGUCAUUUCCUUUGAAAUUUCAAAUAAUAUUAAAGGAGGAUGUGAGAGUUUUAUCAAAAAAAAAAAAAAGACAUGAGUUUUAAGAAACGCUGGCUACCAUACAGAACUAAAUGUGACUUAUAAAACAGGACUCACACACUUACACAGAAAGCUUAAAACCAGUUUCACAUGUACCAAUGUCAAUUAAAACACCAUAUUAGUAUUUCCUUUUACUCGUAUUUAUUACUUCCCGAAUAACAACUGUGAAACAAUCCCACUGCAUACCUUGGAAUGAAUUUCUCAAUAAGUAACACACUUUUCAAGUGGUGAGACAGAUAAAGUGAAAAAAACUGAAAAUGGAAGAAUGUGUUAAAAUAAAUUCUAACAGGUGUAGGGUUGUCUCACUUUGAUUUUAAAUUAGUAUUCUGA
Acinonyx jubatus (cheetah) is the source of this 4743-nucleotide long non-coding RNA. RefSeq lists it as uncharacterized. Lineage: Eukaryota; Metazoa; Chordata; Mammalia; Carnivora; Felidae. The transcript has 3 exons. The record is from RefSeq and is a predicted model, not a curated record.